Long non-coding RNA from Alligator mississippiensis (American alligator), 2017 nucleotides. RefSeq lists it as uncharacterized. NCBI's taxonomy places the organism in Eukaryota, Metazoa, Chordata, Crocodylia, Alligatoridae. The record is from RefSeq and is a predicted model, not a curated record. The transcript is spliced from 3 exons.
GGGAGUGAGGGGCACUAUGGAGUAUGGACAGGGGGGCGGAGGGAGGGGCACCACAGGGCUAUGUGGGGAGCUGUGGGUCAGGAAUGAGGGGCACUGCGGGGAUGGGGGUGGCUGCAGGCUGGGAGUGAGGGGCACUGUGAGUUAACCCCUGCCUGCCCAUGCCUCAGAUGCCCAGCUGCAGCCCAGAGACCCCUGUGGGGCAAGAAGGGGUGGAGCCAACUGUCAAGGCAGGCACUGGCCCCGUGGUCACCAGCUGCCCAGGGAGCUGGGGGGCUGGAGCAGGGCGGGGCAGGCUCCUGCAGCCACUGCCCCAGCCACCAACAAUAGGUUCCAUCACCACCACCCUCUGCAGCCAGAGGAGCUACAAGGCCAGAGUAUCCCACAUCCAGGAGACUGCAGGGGAGAUGGCUGUGCUCUCUGCACCCUGGCCUGCCUCUUCUGUGAACUCAGGGCUCUCUGCUCCCUGGCCCUAUGCUGCAGAAGUGAACCCUGCUGGGCAAGGGCAGGACCAUCAGCUGGGGGAGGUGGGGCCUGCAGUUGCCCCUGGAGCCCACGGGCUGUGAUUCAGCCUGCCUGGAGAUUGCUUUGGAGUGCUGUGGUAUGUUUCCCCAUUUAAGUCUCCUCAUGAGAGGCUCUGCCCAUCCCAGGCCCCGCCCCCUCUUCAGGGCCGAGCCCUACCAAGGUAGCCUGCGAAUGAAUGAGCCACAGCCUGCUGUGAUGCAUCUGGACACCCACCCUCCCAUCCCCCACCUCAUCCUUUCUGCAUCUGAUGUUAUCCAGUGAAGUAUUACCAGGACUAUGAAAUCGUAGGUGAGGAUGGGAAGAGACUAAGAUAGCAGUAUCCAAAUCAGGCCAUGCCCCUCUGUGACUUCAUUUAACCAGACCAUGCCCUUUCAAACCAUGACAUCAUUUUGUGACUCAGAUCUGGCCCACCCAGGCAGUGAUGUCAUGCACAGUGGUGUGCCCUGCCCAUAGUGGCUAUGACCUAAUCCUUUGGGCCGAGCCCCACCCCAUUGGUUGUGAUCUCCUUGCCCAUCCAAACCCCACCCACAUCCAGGAGCCCUGCCCACAUGGCCUAUCUCAUUGCAGAACCAGCCAAACACACCUACCUCACUUGUGAUGUUUCCUUCCCUAAACUCGCACUCCAACAACCAGUCACACUGUCUCCAUUGUGAUGUCACCUGACCACCAGUGGGCCUUGACCUGCUGUUGAUAUCAGUCUUUGGGUUUCUGAUGUCAUCAUCACUCCAAAAUCGUGUGGUAUCAUCACUUAUUGACACUACAAGAUUACCACUUCUUGUUUUGUGAUGUCAUUGCUGUUUGACUCUAUUCACUCAUGCAUUCAUCUAAAAUUAACUUUUAAUAUUCUCAGCACCAUGUCUUCAUUCCUUGAUGCCAUUGCUCCCCAAAGCUGUGACAUCGUUAGUCCAUAAUGCUAUUGAUGCCAUUGCUCCACAAAGCUGUGAUCUCAUUUGUCCCUAAUGUUGUAAUGGCAUUACUCCAGAAAGCUGUGACAUCAUCAGUCCCUGAUGUCAUUGCUCAACAUGGCUGUGCCAUCAUCAGUUCCUGAUGCUGUAUUUACAUCACUCUCCAAAGCUGUGAUGUCAACAGGCCCUGAUGCUAUCUCACUAAACUGUGAUUUCAUCAGCCCCCAAUGCCACAAUGUCAUAAGUUUAUACUGUCAUGGUUCCCUGAAGUUGUGAAGCCAUCCCUCUCCAACACGGUGAUGCUAUGGCUCCCUGAAGCUGUGAUGUCAUCACCUGGGCCCAAGUUCUUCUAUUCAUCCAGGGCAGACAAGGUUCCUUGGGUGAAUCUGAUAUCUUUUAUUAGACCAACCCAAAUAGUUGGAAAAUAAUUAUUAAGCAAGCUUUUGGGUUCAAAAACCCUUCAUCAGGCUAAGGAAAUUUCAGCAGUUGGGGUGUGCUCUUCCUGGAUGGAAUUAAAAGUAAAGAAGCCAGCGGCUGGGUUGGGAUGCAUGCAAGACCAGACCCUUGUAAUAUAAACGUGGUGAAUUCUA